This 58-nucleotide non-coding RNA is filed under the name Plasmodium falciparum 3D7. Lineage: Eukaryota; Apicomplexa; Aconoidasida; Haemosporida; Plasmodiidae. The record is from RNAcentral.
CUUUAGCUUGUAAGAGAUUUCUUUUUCUUAAUAAUCUCUUUUCAGUUACAAGUCUUUG